GAUGAACGCUGGCGGCGUGCCUAAUACAUGCAAGUCGAGCGAACAGACGAGGAGCUUGCUCCUCUGACGUUAGCGGCGGACGGGUGAGUAACACGUGGAUAACCUACCUAUAAGACUGGGAUAACUUCGGGAAACCGGAGCUAAUACCGGAUAAUAUAUUGAACCGCAUGGUUCAAUAGUGAAAGACGGUUUUGCUGUCACUUAUAGAUGGAUCCGCGCCGCAUUAGCUAGUUGGUAAGGUAACGGCUUACCAAGGCAACGAUGCGUAGCCGACCUGAGAGGGUGAUCGGCCACACUGGAACUGAGACACGGUCCAGACUCCUAAGGGAGGCAGCAGUAGGGAAUCUUCCGCAAUGGGCGAAAGCCUGACGGAGCAACGCCGCGUGAGUGAUGAAGGUCUUCGGAUCGUAAAACUCUGUUAUUAGGGAAGAACAAAUGUGUAAGUAACUAUGCACGUCUUGACGGUACCUAAUAAGAAAGCCACGGCUAACUACGUG
Molecule: ribosomal RNA, 497 nt
Filed under: uncultured bacterium
Lineage: Bacteria
Description: partial 16S ribosomal RNA
Rfam family: Bacterial small subunit ribosomal RNA
Source: RNAcentral